RNAcentral lists this ribosomal RNA (344 nucleotides) under uncultured eukaryote. Its description in RNAcentral is "SSU rRNA". It matches the Rfam family "Eukaryotic small subunit ribosomal RNA", at positions 594 to 945 of the family's 1831-position model. The record is from RNAcentral.
AUAGCGUAUAUUAAAGUUGUUGCAGUUAAAAAGCUCGUAGUUGAACCUUGGGCCUGGCUGGGAGGUCCGCCUCACCGCGUGUACUUGUCCGGCCGGGCCUUCCUUCUGGAGAACCUCAUGCCCUUCACUGGGCGUGUUGGGGACCAGGACUUUUACUUUGAAAAAAUUAGAGUGUUCAAAGCAGGCCUUUGCUCGAAUACGUUAGCAUGGAAUAAUAGAAUAGGACGUGCGGUUCUAUUUUGUUGGUUUCGAGAGCCGCCGUAAUGAUUAAUAGGGAUAGUCGGGGGCAUCAGUAUUCAAUUGUCAGAGGUGAAAUUCUUGGAUUUAUUGAAGACUAACUACUG